UUUGGGUCUGCUAAAUCCCGUUUCGUAGUUUGUAGUCUGGCAGACCCAAC
Non-coding RNA from Caenorhabditis elegans, 50 nucleotides. The record is from Ensembl. NCBI's taxonomy places the organism in Eukaryota, Metazoa, Nematoda, Chromadorea, Rhabditida, Rhabditidae.